UUUGAGCUGAACUAAAAAUCAUACGAUUAUAUCAAUGGCAAGUGCUGGAUAUAAAAUCUAAAAUUUUUUGUUUGUCAUUUUGAUGAAAUAUAAGGAAAAAACAAAUUAUUCGGAUAUUAAGUAUACAUCAGUAAUACGAAUAAGUAAUUUUGUUAAAAUCUUCCAAAUUAAAUGGUAAAUACAUAUAUUCGAAUAACUACAGGCCCAACUACUCGUAUAAGACGCAUUUGCAUAAUAAACAAAAGUUGACAUCAUUUGGUGGGCCCAGCAUCGAAAUUUAGUAAGAGCUAUAAUCAAAUGAUUAUUCAAAGCCCUUCACCUUUCGGCGUAGGUGGGCUUAAAAGAUAGAUCGUAUCUCAACUGAGAUUUAUAACUUGUUGCCAAGCUUUUAAGUUAAACAAUGUCGCUUUUCUUUCACUUAUAAUUGACUUUAAGUGAAAAACUGUACAACAAUUGUUCACGAAAGUUGACAAUUGUUUUAAGCAUCAAUUCCCAGACAUUAAACAAAAAGUUUUCGUCGCACCCUUUGUUAAUUUUUAAAAAGUUUUCGCAUUAAUAACGCUGCAACUUUAAAUUGAUGAUAAACAAAAUAAAUUCCAGAUCGUGAUGAUUAUAUUUGACGACAAAAUUAAAUAUCAAAAAAAUAUUAGUUAAAUUGGUUUGAUUUUUAUUGGUUUUAUUUAUGCAACAUCGAAUUACAUAACAAACUUAACAGUAAUUUGCGUAACAUUUGCAUCUCCCCCCUACGAAAAGAGACAAGAAGACAGAAAUUUCAAUCAAAACGAAAUGCACAAGACCAUAACAUCGAGAUAGGUCCAGUGUCCAAAUAUUGGACUCCAAAAAUCU
Long non-coding RNA from Drosophila albomicans, 846 nucleotides. RefSeq lists it as uncharacterized. The transcript has 3 exons. Lineage: Eukaryota; Metazoa; Arthropoda; Insecta; Diptera; Drosophilidae. The record is from RefSeq and is a predicted model, not a curated record.